This 296-nucleotide ribosomal RNA is filed under the name Escherichia coli. RNAcentral describes it as "partial 16S ribosomal RNA". It matches the Rfam family "Bacterial small subunit ribosomal RNA", at positions 1050 to 1346 of the family's 1533-position model. Lineage: Bacteria; Pseudomonadati; Pseudomonadota; Gammaproteobacteria; Enterobacterales; Enterobacteriaceae. The record is from RNAcentral.
UGUCGUCAGCUCGUGUUGUGAAAUGUUGGGUUAAGUCCCGCAACGAGCGCAACCCUUAUCCUUUGUUGCCAGCGGUCCGGCCGGGAACUCAAAGGAGACUGCCAGUGAUAAACUGGAGGAAGGUGGGGAUGACGUCAAGUCAUCAUGGCCCUUACGACCAGGGCUACACACGUGCUACAAUGGCGCAUACAAAGAGAAGCGACCUCGCGAGAGCAAGCGGACCUCAUAAAGUGCGUCGUAGUCCGGAUUGGAGUCUGCAACUCGACUCCAUGAAGUCGGAAUCGCUAGUAAUCGUG